Homo sapiens (human) is the source of this 1937-nucleotide long non-coding RNA. The record is from Ensembl. Lineage: Eukaryota; Metazoa; Chordata; Mammalia; Primates; Hominidae.
AGGGAAACAAGCUUGCCUAGCAUCACACAGCAGCAUAUGUUCAGCUGGGGCCACCGCCCCUUUUGGCUCAGCACAGGUGCAACGCAAAGGAGCUUUGCUUUUCCUGGGCUCAGGGAAAGUUGAAGGCAACCUGAGAAUAGGUGCUUCCUGGGGAACGGUGUUGAACCUAACCCCCUUCCUCCACUCUUUAAAAUCAGUCUUUCAGGAACUCCUGGAGGGUACCCAGAUCACACUUUGAGAAUCGCCGCUCUAAGCCAAUAUGCAGAUUAAUGGAAUGAAUAACCGUGGUGUAUUUCCCACCUAAAAGACAGGCUCUGUGCUGAAGACCGACACUGACAGCUUUCGGCCAGGAACUUAUCUUUCCCAGCAACAAAGAACAGGUGCCAGCCAUAGCAAUAGUUUCAGACCCGUGGAGUCAGCUGUGCUGUUGCCAACCUCCAUCACCUGUCCGCCUUUAUCCUGGGCUCUGUUCCUGUGGAUUUGAACAAAUAGAUGAGCGGCAUCGGAAGAAAGCUUUAGCUGCAUGUGUUUGGGUGACCACGAGAGGGCAGCACGUAAGAGACCAGUGUCGGCCCCGCUGCCUUCUUGAACACACCGGAAGCCUCCUAGGAAAACUGCAGAUUUUGUCAGACUGUGAAGUAGAAGAGUCAAAGAGCCUUCAUUGCUUCCUUUUAAAUGACCAGCCUACUAAGGAAUUUAGAAUGCCCAAGUAAGGACUGCUGGUCAGACUGGACUUCAAAAUUCCUGGAUCCUUAAGACCCAAUGCAUCAGACAAAUGUCCUGCUGGAUCCUCCCACCGUCAGCUAAGGGACAGUGCUAGCUCUCUGGUGAGGGAGAUCCGUGUGGAGGUCUCUGGCAUUCCUGGGUCAGUGGAUGGCUGGGAGAACUGCUCAGCUCCAGGUUCCAGGGCCUCUGAUCAAAGCCAACCCUGGGGGCCAGCCAGAGAUAUCGCAAACCUAAGGACUAACGUGGAAUCUACACCUGCCUUGGGAGUAAAGAACAAGCAGGGUGCUUUCCGGGAUGGCUUUGGGAUGAGAUGCCCAAGACUUAGUGCCCCUGGCAUUGCUCAGCUCUCAAGCUGACUUCCACAGCACCCCCAUGGAAGCUUCAUUGGUGCAUCUUUGGGUCUUGAAUGCAGUGCUACAAUAUUGACGAGGAAAGUCUCCUUGGAACCACAGGAAGACAAAAGUGCAGAGUGAUUUGCUGGCCUUGGCUAGGACAGGGUCCAGGGUGCAGCCAAGGGAGGGUGAUCUAAGCCAGCCAUUCUCCUAGUGUGGCUCCUGGACUAUGCGCAACAGCAUCACCUGGGAGCUUGUUAGAAACACUGGUUCUCAGUUCCCAUGCAGACGUCUUGCAUCAGAAAAUCUGGGGCUGGGGCCCAGCAAUCAGUGUCUCCAAAGGCCCUGAGAUCAUUCUAUUCAAGUUUGGGAACCAGCAACACAGCAUUUAAGUGGAAAUGUUUAUAGUUGCAAAGCCAGGUGAAGCUUGAAAUGCAUCAUAGAGGAAAUGAGGACAAGAAUGUAGAAAAAGAGUAAAAACAGAGAGGAAAAAAAUUUACAAGCCAUCAUAGAGUGAAAGAGCUUCCCCUGCUGCCUGGGGGUGUGGGAAAUGAGAGUUGCACCUGCUCACAAGUAUGACCAGCAAUUUAAUAUCUAUCUAGAGCUUUCAACCCUGCCAUGUCAAAUUUAUUUAGCUAAAAACAACUCUUGUGGUGGUGACCUUUUAUUCAGCUAAUAUUACUCCCCUCAAUGCCUCCAAAGCACACAGAGAAAUUGGAGGGCUGAUGAAAAUCUUUAAAGUCUACUAAAUACUAAAGCCUUCCCAAACACUGUGUACUUUUCAGAGAGAGUUUCUUUUUAUUGGAAUUUCAGAUUAUUGAAAGGUUAUCUGUCUCCUGUUCCUAGAGGGAUUAAAAUAAAACAAAAGCAAGAAGAACA